GAUUUGUGGCUCAAUGGUAGAGCACUUGCCUAGCAUGUAUGAGGCACUGGGUUCGAUUCUCAGCAGCA
Molecule: transfer RNA, 68 nt
Filed under: Marmota monax (woodchuck)
Lineage: Eukaryota; Metazoa; Chordata; Mammalia; Rodentia; Sciuridae
Description: tRNA.Ala
Rfam family: tRNA (bases 5-65)
About the family: Transfer RNA (tRNA) molecules are approximately 80 nucleotides in length. Their secondary structure includes four short double-helical elements and three loops (D, anti-codon, and T loops).
Source: RNAcentral